Molecule: ribosomal RNA, 525 nt
Filed under: uncultured bacterium
Lineage: Bacteria
Description: bacterial SSU rRNA
Rfam family: Bacterial small subunit ribosomal RNA
Source: RNAcentral
GAUUCUGGCUCAGGAUGAACGCUGGCGGCGUGCUUAACACAUGCAAGUCGAACGAAUUACUUAAAGAAGUCUUCGGAUGGAAAUAAAGUAGUUAGUGGCGGACGGGUGAGUAACGCGUGGGAAACCUGCCCUAUACAGGGGGAUAGCCUCGGGAAACCGGGAUUAAUACCCCAUAAAGCUCUAGAAUCGCAUGAUUCAAGAGUCAAAACUCCGGUGGUAUAGGAUGGUCCCGCGUCCCAUUAGCUAGUUGGUGAGGUAACGGCCCACCAAGGCGACGAUGGGUAGCCGGCCUGAGAGGGUGAACGGCCGCACUGGAACUGAGACACGGUCCAGACUCCUACGGGAGGCAGCAGUGGGGAAUAUUGCGCAAUGGGCGAAAGCCUGACGCAGCGACGCCGCGUGAAGGGAUGAAGGUCCUCGGAUCGUAAACCUCUGUCAGGAGGGAAGAACCGCCACGGUGCUAAUCAGCCGUGGUCUGACGGUACCUCCAAAGGAAGCACCGGCUAACUCCGUGCCAGCAGCCGC